AGGAUCAUUCGCAAUGGGGGAAACCCUGACGAUGCGACGCUGCGUGGAGGAUGGAGGCCUUCGGGUCGUAAACUCCUGUCAUGAAGGAAAAGGAGAGGGGCGCCAACACCGCCCCGAUUUGAUGGUACUUCAAGAGGAAGAGACGGCUAACUCUGUGCCAGCAGCCGCGGUAAUACAGAGGCCUCGAGCGUUGUUCGGAUUUACUGGGCGUAAAGGGCGCGUAGGCGGCGCGGCGUGUCGAUUGUGAAAUCUCCGGGCUCAACCCGGAAAGUGCGCUCGAAACUGCCGCGUUCGAGUACGGGAUGGGGAAUCGGAAUACAGGGUGUAGCGGUGAAAUGCGUUGAUAUCCUGUAGAACACCGGAGGCGAAGGCGGAUUCCUGGAACGUCACUGACGCUGAGGCGCGAAAGUCGGGGGAGCAAACA
This 424-nucleotide ribosomal RNA is filed under the name uncultured bacterium. RNAcentral describes it as "bacterial SSU rRNA". It matches the Rfam family "Bacterial small subunit ribosomal RNA", at positions 358 to 774 of the family's 1533-position model. The record is from RNAcentral.